This 461-nucleotide ribosomal RNA is filed under the name Alteromonas macleodii. RNAcentral describes it as "bacterial SSU rRNA". It matches the Rfam family "Bacterial small subunit ribosomal RNA", at positions 90 to 553 of the family's 1533-position model. The record is from RNAcentral. Lineage: Bacteria; Pseudomonadati; Pseudomonadota; Gammaproteobacteria; Alteromonadales; Alteromonadaceae.
GACGAGUGGCGGACGGGUGAGUAAUGCUUGGGAACUUGCCUUUGCGAGGGGGAUAACAGUUGGAAACGACUGCUAAUACCGCAUAAUGUCUUCGGACCAAACGGGGCUUCGGCUCCGGCGCAAAGAGAGGCCCAAGUGAGAUUAGCUAGUUGGUAAGGUAACGGCUUACCAAGGCGACGAUCUCUAGCUGUUCUGAGAGGAAGAUCAGCCACACUGGGACUGAGACACGGCCCAGACUCCUACGGGAGGCAGCAGUGGGGAAUAUUGCACAAUGGGGGAAACCCUGAUGCAGCCAUGCCGCGUGUGUGAAGAAGGCCUUCGGGUUGUAAAGCACUUUCAGUUGUGAGGAAAAGUUAGUAGUUAAUACCUGCUAGCCGUGACGUUAACAACAGAAGAAGCACCGGCUAACUCCGUGCCAGCAGCCGCGGUAAUACGGAGGGUGCGAGCGUUAAUCGGAAUUA